GGGUGUAUAGCUCAGUUGGUGGAGCAUUGGGCUUUUAACCCAAUGGUCGCAGGUUCGAGUCCUGCUAUACCCA
RNAcentral lists this transfer RNA (73 nucleotides) under Araucaria cunninghamii (hoop pine). RNAcentral describes it as "tRNA-Lys". It matches the Rfam family "tRNA". Rfam says of the family: Transfer RNA (tRNA) molecules are approximately 80 nucleotides in length. Their secondary structure includes four short double-helical elements and three loops (D, anti-codon, and T loops). The record is from RNAcentral. Lineage: Eukaryota; Viridiplantae; Streptophyta; Pinopsida; Araucariales; Araucariaceae.